This 72-nucleotide transfer RNA is filed under the name Camelus bactrianus (Bactrian camel). It matches the Rfam family "tRNA". Rfam says of the family: Transfer RNA (tRNA) molecules are approximately 80 nucleotides in length. The record is from Rfam by way of RNAcentral. RNAcentral also lists the same sequence under 2 other names. Lineage: Eukaryota; Metazoa; Chordata; Mammalia; Artiodactyla; Camelidae.
GGGGUUAUAGCUCAGUGGUAGAGCGUGUGAUUGGCAUCCACGAGGUCCUGGGUUCAAUCCCCAGUACCUCCA